UACUCUGUGCAGUCAGAGCCCUGCCCUUCAGACACUAAGGCUGUUUUAUUUUUAGUUUCAGAAAAAACCCUGCUUUCAGAGGAACUUCAAAUUAUAUUUGUCUGUGUGUGAUCCAAGAGCCAAAGACAGAUUAAAUGAUUCCAGUGGACAUACUGCUCUGAUUAUGAGCUACAUCCAACCCCUGGCAGCAUGCAUCAUUGCCUUGGAAAAUAUGUCACAGCAAUUAUAUCCUUAUUCCUCUUGAGCUUCUUCCUCCGUGAGAAAAUCCAAAAUGCUGAAUAUAAACUUCUGUUGAAGGAAAAGGAGGACAUAGCUUGGAAAUAGCUGUCAAACAAAUCAACUCUGAAAGCAAGAACCAUCUGCGAACCUUCAAGGAGAUGCAGAGAGACUCCCAUCUUCUCCAGCAGGCUAGCUACCAAUCCCUGGCUGGAGCCCCUCCCCAGGAAAAGA
This is a long non-coding RNA of Gorilla gorilla gorilla (western lowland gorilla), 450 nucleotides long. RefSeq lists it as uncharacterized. NCBI's taxonomy places the organism in Eukaryota, Metazoa, Chordata, Mammalia, Primates, Hominidae. The transcript has 3 exons. The record is from RefSeq and is a predicted model, not a curated record.